GAUGAACGCUGGCGGCGUGCCUAAUACAUGCAAGUCGAGCGAACAGACGAGGAGCUUGCUCCUCUGACGUUAGCGGCGGACGGGUGAGUAACACGUGGAUAACCUACCUAUAAGACUGGGAUAACUUCGGGAAACCGGAGCUAAUACCGGAUAAUAUAUUGAACCGCAUGGUUCAAUAGUGAAAGGCGGUUUUGCUGUCACUUAUAGAUGGAUCCGCGCCGCAUUAGCUAGUUGGUAAGGUAACGGCUUACCAAGGCAACGAUGCGUAGCCGACCUGAGAGGGUGAUCGGCCACAGUGGCACUGAGACACGGUCCAGACUCCUACGGGAGGCAGCAGUAGGGAAUCUUCCGCAAUGGGCGAAAGCCUGACGGAGCAACGCCGCGUGAGUGAUGAAGGUCUUCGGAUCGUAAAACUCUGUUAUUAGGGAAGAACAAAUGUGUAAGUAACUAUGCACGUCUUGACGGUACCUAAACAGAAAGCCACGGCUAACUACGUG
Molecule: ribosomal RNA, 497 nt
Filed under: uncultured bacterium
Lineage: Bacteria
Description: partial 16S ribosomal RNA
Rfam family: Bacterial small subunit ribosomal RNA
Source: RNAcentral